RNAcentral lists this ribosomal RNA (695 nucleotides) under uncultured bacterium. Its description in RNAcentral is "bacterial SSU rRNA". It matches the Rfam family "Bacterial small subunit ribosomal RNA", at positions 801 to 1501 of the family's 1533-position model. The record is from RNAcentral.
CUUAACGAUAAGUGCUAAUGUCGGAUUUCGGAUUCGGUGUCGCAAGCUACGCAUUAAGCACUCCGCCUGGGAGUACGNUGCCAGAUUAAACUCAAAGNAAUUGACGGGGGCCGGCNCAAGCGGUGAAGCAUGUGGUUUAAUUCGAAGCAACGCGCAGACCCUUACCAGCUCUUGACAUUGUACCAGCGGAUCAUGNAAACAUGGUUUUCACUUUCGGGUGGAUAUAACAGGUGCUGCAUGGCUGUCGUCAGCUCGUGUCGUGAGAUGUUGGGUUAAGUCCCGCAACGAGCGCAACCCUCAUCUUCAGUUACUAACGGGUAAUGCCGAGGACUCUGAAGAAACUGCCGGUGAUAAACCGGAGGAAGGUGGGGAUGACGUCAAGUCCUCAUGGCCCUUAUGGGCUGGGCUACACACGUGCUACAAUGGUGGUGACAAUGGGAAGCAAUAUCGCAAGAUGGAGCGAAUCCCCAAAAGCCACCUCAGUUCAGAUUGUCCUCUGCAACUCGAGGGCAUGAAGUCGGAAUCGCUAGUAAUCGUAGAUCAGCAUGCUACGGUGAAUACGUUCUCGGGCCUUGUACACACUGCCCGUCAAACCAUGGGAGUUGAUUUUACCCGAAGUCGGUCAGCUAACUCGCAAGAGAGGCAGCCGCCCACGGUAGGAUGAAUGACUGGGGUUAAGUCGUAACAAGGUAACC